UUAGGGAGACCUACCCACUCUAUGUUCAAAGCAAAGUGCAAAUAGACAUAAGAGCAGGUCAACCAAGGUCGAGCGAGUGUUGGAUUGCUGGCUUUCAAACAAUUCCAGGUUUAUUUCUCAGGAGUAGAGCGCGAUUAAUCUAGUUCAGUUGUUUCUCUAAUAAUGAAAGAGUCGUUAAACAAGAGUGCAAUUAAUUCUCUGUUUUAACUACUGAACGCCAGAGAACAGCACUAGUCAACAGAAUUUAUACAACUGAAUUGUUUCAGCAACUCAUCUAGUGAACAAAUAUGUUAGAUUAGAGAGCCUGCUGGAAUGAGCGCCAGCAAGAACCUUGAAAAUUGCAUAGCAAAAAACUUGUCAGGUAGAAACAGUGGGCAAGGUUAAGUGAACGCGCUUGUGAACAACUUCAUGAAAGAGUUUUUACUUAAGAUUGCACACUGAAUCACAGAUACUAAUGUCAAAAGU
Molecule: unclassified non-coding RNA, 465 nt
Filed under: Trichotorquatus andrei WJT55-NPBG7
Lineage: Bacteria; Bacillati; Cyanobacteriota; Cyanophyceae; Oculatellales; Oculatellaceae
Description: 16S-23S ribosomal RNA intergenic spacer
Source: RNAcentral